RNAcentral lists this ribosomal RNA (1457 nucleotides) under uncultured organism. RNAcentral describes it as "bacterial SSU rRNA". It matches the Rfam family "Bacterial small subunit ribosomal RNA". The record is from RNAcentral.
UGAUCCUGGCUCAGAAUGAACGCUGGCGGCAUGGUUAAAACAUGCAAGUCGCACGCGAACGUCAAUGCUGGCUUGCCAGCGGCGACUAUUAGAGUGGCGGAAGGGCGAGUAAUGUAUGGGUAACGUACCUCUUGCACGAGGAUAGCCGCGGGAAACUGCGGGUAAUACUCGAUGCUGUCCUAGGGUCAUAUGACCUCUGGAUGAAAGGCGGGGAUCUUCGGACCUGUCGGCAGGAGAGCGGCCCAUAUGCUAUCAGCUAGUUGGUGAGGUAACGGCUCACCAAGGCGACGACGGCUAGCGGAGCUGAGAGGUUGGCCCGCCGCACUGGGACUGAGACACUGCCCAGACUCCUACGGGAGGCUGCAGUAACGAAUCUUCCGCAAUGGGCGAAAGCCUGACGGAGCAAUGCCGCGUGUGGGAAUAAGCUCUUCGGAGUGUAAACCACUGUCAGGGGUUACCAAGCAAUGGGAGCUAAUAUCUCCCGGCGUUGAGGAGCCCCAGAGGAAGCCACGGCUAACUUCGUGCCAGCAGCCGCGGUAAUACGGAGGUGGCGAGCGUUAUUCGGAAUCACUGGGCUUAAAGAGCACGUAGGCGGAAUACCAAGCGUCUUGUGAAAUCCCUCGGCUCAACCGAGGAAUUGCAGGGCGAACUGGUAUUCUUGAGGCAGGUAAGGGUGAGUGGAACUCUUGGUGGAGCGGUGGAAUGCGUAGAUAUCAAGAGGAACGCCGGAGGUGAAGACGACUCACUGGGCCUGUCCUGACGCUGAGGUGCGAAAGCCAGGGGAGCGAACGGGAUUAGAUACCCCGGUAGUCCUGGCCAUAAACGAUGUCCACUAGGUCGAUGACAUUCUGACAUGGUGUCGGCCGAAAGAAAACCGUUAAGUGGACCGCCUGGGGAGUACGGUCGCAAGGCUAAAACUCAAAGGAAUUGACGGGGGCUCACACAAGCGGUGGAGCAUGUUGCUUAAUUCGAUGCAACGCGAAGAACCUUAUCCUGGGCUUGACAUGCUUGGAUGCCCCCCUGGAAACAGGGAUCGGCUGCCCUUCGGGGUGAAACUUGCACAGGUGCUGCAUGGCUGUCGUCAGCUCGUGUCGUGAGAUGUUGGGUUAAGUCCCGUAACGAGCGAAACCCUUGUCGUUAGUUGCCAGCGGGUCAUGCCGGGGACUCUAACGAGACUGCCGGUGUCAAACCGGAGGAAGGUGGGGAUGACGUCAAGUCCUCAUGGCCUUUAUGCCCAGGGCCGCAAACGUGCUACAAUGGCUGGUACAAACCGACGCGAGACCGCGAGGUGGAGCAAAUCGGAAAAAGCCAGCCCCAGUUCGGAUUGCAGUCUGCAACUCGACUGCAUGAAGUCGGUAUCGCUAGUAAUCGCGCAUCAGCGUGGCGCGGUGAAUAUGUUCCUGAGCCUUGUACACACCGCCCGUCAAGUCAUGGAAGCUGGGAGCACCCGAAGUCGG